GAUGAAGAACGUAGUGAAAUGCGAUAAGUAAUGUGAAUUGCAGAAUUCAGUGAAUCAUCGAAUCUUUGAACGCACCUUGCGCUCCUUGGCAUUCCGAGGAGCAUGCCUGUUUGAGUGUCAUUUCAACCCUCAAGCACAGCUUGGUGUUGGGACUCGCGUUAAUUCGCGUUCCCCAAAUUGAUUGGCGGUCACGUCGAGCUUCCAUAGCGUAGUAGUAAAACCCUCGUUACUGGUAAUCGUCGCGGCCACGCCGUUAAACCCCAACUUCUGAAUGUUGACCUCGGAUCAGGUAGGAAUACCCGCUGAACUUAAGCAUAUCAAUAAGCGGAGG
This 331-nucleotide unclassified non-coding RNA is filed under the name soil metagenome. Its description in RNAcentral is "partial contains 5.8S ribosomal RNA, internal transcribed spacer 2, and large subunit ribosomal RNA". The stretch from base 1 to 120 matches the Rfam family "5.8S ribosomal RNA", at positions 35 to 154 of the family's 154-position model. The record is from RNAcentral.